Molecule: long non-coding RNA, 23490 nt
Filed under: Prunus persica (peach)
Lineage: Eukaryota; Viridiplantae; Streptophyta; Magnoliopsida; Rosales; Rosaceae
Description: long non-coding RNA (PPER_LNC008207)
Source: RNAcentral
UUAAUUUUAAGGUUUAUUUAGCAACACUCUAGAUAAAUCCAUACAUACGUAAAACGAGCAUAAUAAUAGUAGCUAGUAGGAAUUAUAUCCCAACAAUUCAACAAGAACGAACAAAGUAGUGAUAUUCUCACUCUCAUAGCAAUACUACAAAUAAUAGGACAAAACAAUAUUUGUAAACACACGAGUGGUCCAUAUAGUUCUCCAGAAAUCCCUAAAAUAGAUCUUGCAUCUAGGUAUGCAACACCACAUGAAAGGCCCAUACCAUAUGUGAUUAUGAACCUUUAUUUAACUACAUAUAGAUAUAGUAGUACAACAAAUAUUACUGUCCGGCUGGGAAACGAAACCGUCAAUAUGCCACUGACAAUAUGCCGAUAUAAUUGUCGCAAACAAAACGUACUCACAUGUUAUCGAUACAAUUUCACCAAUAUUAACGGACAUAUAUUAUUUCAACAAUGUCGAUGCACACAACCUUUAUUUAAUAAAGAACUGAUGGCUUGCAUAGAGAACUUCUGAGAUAUUCAUCAGAGACAUAUAUGUAUACACCAUUUUUAUUAAGGGGUGGUGGUUAUUGAAGGUGGAGAGAACGGAAAUAUGGGAGUUGAUGGGAAAUUUGGAAGUGAAGUAAUAAUAGGGGGAGGCAACCUAUAUUCUGGCCAUAAAGGUGCGGGGGUCAGAGGAGGAAACUUCAGGUUCCGAGGAGGAAACUUCAGGUUAGGGAUCUUAGGCAGCUUAUAAUGAGGAAAGGUAGGGGCUAAGAGUUUUCGAGGAGCGGCGAAAGCUAAAUGUGUGCUUGAAAGUAAUGAAGCGACGACAAAGAUAGCUAUGACAAACGAUUUCCAAGUGGCCAUCUUAGUGUGUGGAAAUAAAGCUGAUGAAAUUUGAUGUGGACGAGAAGACCAGCCUAUGGUUAUAAUUUAUAACGUUGAUUCCAUUGGGAACAAGAACAACCCCAUUUAUUUUUGGUUUUAAAUGCUGUAAAAUUCUGUUGAAAAAUAAAAAUAUGUCAGAUGCCGGUAUGGGUCAAAAUUUAGAAUAGGAUAGUACUAAUUUGUAGUUUUCCAUUAAAAGUCUCGCAGUUGGUAGGUACACCUAUCAUUGUCUUGGUUUCUAUUUUGCUUUGCCAUGCCAUUCUUCACAAAGAGAUAUGCCAUUUUUCUCGUUCUUCUUGAAAAGGAAAGGUUGAUAGAAUAAUUAAUCUCAAAGAUAAAAUAGACUUUGGCUGGAAAGGGAUAAUGAAAUGAUUGAAAAAGGCGAUGCGGCCCUUUGUUGUUUUGUUGCCGAUAACAAUAUAUAUAUAUAUAUAUAUAUAUAUACAGAGAGCUUUCAUUGAGGGAUCCUUCAAAUAAGCUUAUUUGAGGGACACCCCUUGUAGGCCCCAUUCCGGAUUGUAUUUCACUAAUCCAAACCGUCUAUUUUGUACAUACUCAUUCAAAGAUCAUCUCAACAAAAAAUCACUUGAAUCCGAUAUUAUUUGACCACUCAAUUAAGCUAUUGAAAUUUUAGCAUUUUCUUGAAGCAUCGUAUUCUUUGAUUUUGUAAGACACAAUUGGAUGUCGAAAUGGUUUCCGAUUUGUCUAAUUUUUUGUAAGGAUGAUCUAUGAAUAAAGACCUAAAAAAUAGAUGGUUUGGAUCAUUGGGAAAAAAAAUUGUGGGGUACCCUAAGGGGUGUCCCUCAAAUAAAAUUAUUUGAGGGAUCCCUCAAUAGAAGGGGACUGAUAUAUAGAGAGCUUCUAUUGAGGGAUCCCUCAAAUAAGCUUAUUUGAGGGACACCCCCUUGUAGGCCCCAUUCCGGAUUGUAUUCACUAAUCCAAACCGUCUAUUUUGUACAUACUCAUUCAAAGAUCAUCUCAACAAAAAAUCACUUGAAUCCGAUAUUAUUUGACCACUCAAUUAAGCUAUUGAAAUUUUAGCAUUUUCUUGAAGCAUCGUAUUCUUUGAUUUUGUAAGACACAAUUGGAUGUCGAAAUGGUUUCCGAUUUGUCUAAUUUUUUGUAAGGAUGAUCUAUGAAUAAAGACCUAAAAAAUAGAUGGUUUGGAUCAUUGGGAAAAAAAAUUGUAGGGUACCCUAAGGGGUGUCCCUCAAAUAAAAUUAUUUGAGGGAUCCCUUAAUAGAAGGGGACUGUAUAUAUAUAUAUAUAUAUAUAUGUUAUAUUGUUGUUUGGGUGUGGUCUCCAAUUCCAAGUCAAGUCACGUCAAGUCAAUGGUCUCAAUUUCAAGCCAAGUUAAUAGACUCAAUUUCAAGCCAAGUCAAGUGGUUCCAAUUUCAAACUAAGUCAAGACAGACUCAACUUCACAAGAAAUUAUUAUUUACAAUGAAAGUAAAUAAAUGAAAGACCAAGGAGUUUUGGUUGGGAUUUCACUCAAAGGCGAACUAGUGGCCCAUGGAUUCUCUCUCUCUCUCUCUCUCUCUCUCUCUCUCUCUCUCUAUAUAUAUAUAUAUAUAUAUUUAAUACGAAGGAGUAAGAAGUCAUAUGAACUUUGGCCAAGUUUCUUGAAAAUGCCAAAUUGCCUAAAGAUCUUUAGGCAAAAAGAUCUGAUGAAAGUUCGAAGGCUAACUUUAUGGCUUUAUACUAUCUAUAUAAUAAUAUUUAAACUCAACAUGAUGCAGAUGGACUCAUUAGAAUUCUAAAUCACCCAACAUCAGUGGAUUAUGUUUAAUCAAAACUAGAAACUCCGGAAACCAUGAUGUCUCACCAGAAGAAAAUAAUGCCCUGUUGAAACUGGUGAGUUCGUACUCCAUUGGUACGCUGAGAAGGCUAGACAUGCUGCAGGUUUCUAAUGAAAAGAUUCUGGGAGACCAGGAGAGACUCAUGGCUAAGCUUAAGAGGCGCCAUUCUCUUCCUUCAGAGGCUUCCAGAACAUAAUGUAAUCUUUUAGAUUUUACAGAGCCUGCACCUUUAUUGCAGGUGGAAAAUCUAUCUGUUGUAUGCCUUCUUUCAUGUUAUAAUAAUUGUGCAAAUUCUUAAACUUGCACCUGUGGUUUUUACGUCUUUUCAAAAUGACGAUUUGGAACCUUGUGUCUUAUAGGUUCAAGUAACCACAUCAAAUCUCUCAAAUUACAUAUUUCAAUGCAUGUGAGCCCGGAACUUCUGGCUCGGGCUAAACACGACCUCAGAAUUUAUUCGCCCUUUUCAAAUAUGCAUGAAAUAUGAAUUGAGGAAAAGUCAUGAUAAUAUUGUAAUAUAGUAGUGAAGAGCAUUAACUACUAUAUAAUCAAAACUUCAGGUUCAGGACUUUUCAUAUAUUGGGAUCAAUGGGCUUCUAGCCCAGAUCAUAUAAUAUAACCAAAUAUGUGGGGAGCCUCAAUUCAUCAUUUGAGGUUUAUCCUGAUAUUAUCCAUUUCAUGGUGCAUUCUUAACAACCGGAAUUCACAAAAUAUAUUUCUUCCUUGAGGUGUCGAUUGUAACAGAAUUGAACUUUAUUAAAUUUAUCAUUUCUUAUGCCAAAGAAAUAUGUGGUGUACCACAAUUUGCAAUAAUACCUCAAGGGUUGCCCAUUUAACUAUAGGAACUUCAAGUUCUCAAUAUUGCCAUAUUUUAAACUUUAUGCCAAAAUCAUAUAUUCUUAUAGUAUGGGCAUUCAAUACUCUUAGAUUUUGAACUUCAGGCCAAAAUCACAUAUUCUCAUGGUAUGAACAUUUUUACAAUUUUCUGUAUGUAUUUUGGGACUUCAAGCACUUACAUAAUUGUCCAUAUUUUGAGAAACUUCUGGCAUCUCAUUUAAUUGCUCAUUUAUGAGUUUAAGGAACUGCAUGUUCCCUUUUGUAUAUAGUGACAAUUUACCCAAAAUGGUUAAUAUUUAUGCAUAUGUCACUAUUCAUGUAUACGAUACUAUUCAUCAAGUCAUGAAUACGUAUCUAUUCAUGUGUACAGUACAUUUGCUAGUACAGUUAUUAUUUAUGUGUACAUCACUUUUAACCAAUACGGUACUGUUGCAUCAUCAAGGAACUCUAGGUCUUUAUUUACAUGUCAAGGAUCAAGGAUCUUCAAGUCCGAUAUCUUGUUUACAAGUAUAGUAAACAAGAGAUUGUCAGCUCUCAUAUCAUUAUCAUCAUCAAGGAUCUUCAAGUCCUGAUGUAGUUGUAUGAUGGGGAUCAAAGAACUUUUGGUCCUGAUCUGUAUGCUGUAAAAACUCAUCAUACUGCACAAUUAAUCCAUAAAAUAAAUUGCUUGUAAAUAAAUUGCUUGAUGUAUGGACGUUAAUCCUGCGCCAUACCUUAAAUAAAAUUAAAUAUGCGGUAAAGUAAAUUCAUAAAUUAAAUUGCUUGCUGUACGGACGUUAAUCCCACACCAUACCUUAAAUAAAAGUAAAUGUGCAAUAAAGUAAAUUGCUUGUUGUAUUGGAGUUAAUUCCACACCAUACAAUAAUAAAGUAAAUGUGCUUGUAUGAGCACUAAUUCUGCUCCAUACUUUUAAAUAAAAGUAAAGGCAGUUGUGUGGACGAUAAACCUGCACCACACUUUUAAAUAAAUAUUGUUGUAUGGGUAAUAAACCUACACCAUACAAGAAAUAAAUUGUAUGAGUAAUGAACCUACACCAUAUAGUAAAUAAAAUAACUGUGGGAAUAAAACCACCACUAAAAAUAUAGGAAGUGAAACCGUCUAUUUUUAUUAGUUGUUAGUAAUAUGAAAGCAAAUAAGUAUAUUAUAUUACUAUCAACUUUUCAUAUCAAUAUUAUAAUUAUAUAUAUAAGAUAACCAUAUAUAAUAAAUUGACAGUUAUCGCUUCUGACAAUCGUGGAUUAUAUAUACUAGAUUAAGACUACCAUAUCAAAUAAUAUUCUAUAAAUAUCACUUGUGUAUAUACAUAUAACUUGAGUAUAUUGCCAUUUAUAUAUAUAAUAUGUUAUAUCAAAACCAAAAAGUUAAUGAUGCUUUAAUAUAAUAUAUAAAGCAACCAUAUAUCAAAAGGAAUCAUGGCCGACAAUGAAUCAUUGCAUAUGUGCAUGUUUUCAACUUUGUUGCUUUCACUCCUGCCAUUAGCACUCAAACUGUUUGUAUAAUCAGCAUAUAUAUAUAAGGUAGCAUUGAAUAAUGUAAAGUAUUAAUAAACGAAGAAGAUGAAAAAAUAGUGAGCUUAUCAUGUUUUGGUGGAUUUGCUCGUAUAUCUCUCUAGCAGACCACAGCUCCUUCUCUUUUCUUCCUUACAUCAACACAAUGAUCAGUAGUAUAAAUAAUAGUGCAACACAAAAAUUAUACAUGAGAGCUUCUCGUGCUAAUAACGUGUUAUACAAUAACUGGAAUAUGUGCGAAUAUUGAGCUGCACGUAAAGUGGAUGAGAAACAGUAACUUUUCCACUAUGUAAAAUAAUAGGGCUACAACUUUAGUGUUUACAAUAUAUGUAGCUCACUAAUUUUUCUCUCUUGGAGAAUUUCUCUCCUCUCACCCACUCUCUUUCUUUCUUUUCUUUCCUUCCUCUCUGCCUGACUCUCUUUCUUCUCUCAGUUGGAGUCUUCACCAAAGGAAGGGGGGAAGCCUUAUUUGUAGGCAGAAUUUUGUGGCUGCUUACUCAUUUCUCUUUGGCUUCACGUGGGUGUUGACAAGCAUCAUCAUUACUCUUCAAUUAAUUAGGUAGUGUGCUCUACCAUUUUGGCCUCCACAUUCUUGACUUUACAACAAGUAUAUAUUUUAAUAUGGAGGAGUAAGAAGUCACAACUUUGGCCAAGUUUCUUGAAAAGGACAAAUGGCCUAAAGAUCUUUAUAAAAAAGAUCUAAUGAAAGUUCGAAGGCCACCUUUAUGGCCUUAUACUAUCUAUAUAAUAUUAUUUAGACUCAACAUAUAAGGUAUAAUCAUAGUCUAAAAUAUCGAUAAUAUCGACGAAAUUAUCAUUUUUUCGAGUCACAAAUAUUUGGAACGUAUCCACACAUAUCGUAUAAAUAUCGAUAAUAUCAGAAAAUAUCGAUGUCGAUAAUUGUGCUCACUCACUACUACAAAAAAGGAAAAAGACGACGGUAAAUCACCGUCGUGUAUUCGAUUUUUCAAUGGUCGUGGAAUCCACCGUCAUCUUUUCCCUCAUAUACCACGACGCUAAAUCACCGUCGUUGUUAAAAUAUACAACGUCAUCAACAAAUACAAAACGACGUCUUUGUACUGCAAAAAGAUCUAAAAAAGCAGUCGAGGAUGAGAAUAGACGACCAACUCUCUAAAAAAACCGUCGUUAAAAAGGAAAAAUAUGACACAUAUUAAGAGAACAAGGCCGCAAGAUAGACAUACAACGACGGAAAUAAAACAACGACGCCGUUAAAUAUCAUUUUCACGACAAUAAAAAAUUUGACGUCUUUAAAUACAUUAGAAGACGACGUUAUUGAUACCUACUACGUCGCAUAUAUAAAAACAGCCGUCGUAAAAUUAAUUUUCCACUUCGAUUUUUCGAUAAAAGAUGACGUGGAAAUAGUUGUCAGUGUCAUUAUUUACGACGUAUGUAUUUAUUGAGUAGACGUUGAAAAACUAAACAACGUCGGUUACAAAUAUAUGAGAGUCGUAUUACAAAAUUUAUACGUCAUAUUUUCAGAAACAAACAACGACGAUAAAUAUUAGACGUUGUUAAAUAAAACAACGUCGGAAAACAAUAAAAACAGACGUGUUUAGUCUGCUAAAGUUCUAGAAAAUAGUCGAGGAUGAGAAUAGACGACCAACUCAAACAAAUCACCGUCGUUAAAAAGGAAAAAUAUGACACAUGUUAAAAGAAAAAGGCCGCAAGAUAUACAUACAACGACGACAACUAAAAUUUUACGCCGUUAAAUAUAAUUUACACGACAAGAAAAAAUAUGACGUCUUUAAAUACAUGAGAAGACGACGUUAUUGAAAUAUACUACGUCUCUUAUUUACAAACAACCGUCGUGAAAUAAAUUUUCCACUUCGAUUUUUCUAAAAAAGAUGACGUGGAAAUAGUUGUCAGUGUCAUUAUUUACGACGUAUGUAUUUAUACAGUUGACGUUGAAAUGCGAAACAACGUCGGUGGCAUUUAUAUAGUCGACGUUGUAUUUAUAUCUAUCAUCAUUACUCACGACGCACUUAAUAAUAUAGACGACGUUGAACUUCUAAACAACGUCGGUUCCAAAUAAAUGAGAGCCGUAUUACAGAACAUAUAGACGGCGUUGAUUAUGAUGAGAGCCGUAUUACAAAUAACGUCGUUUAAUUGUUAUUAGACGGCGGUUAUAAUGAAUUUCCGUCGGAAUUCAUUUCGUUCCUCUUCGUUUAUAAAAGAACUUGCGACGUGGAAAAUGUAUGAUGACGUCGUAUUUUUUAACGUUCAGAUUAUAUAUCUCGUUUUUUAGACGUCGGUAUUAUGGGAUUGGAGUCGUGUUAUUUUGAAUUACAUGGCGGUUCUUAAUCCUUCCCCGACGUGAUAUCCUGAUUAAUUGCUUCACAAUUGCGUCGUGGUUCUUCAUUGUUACGUUGCUUUAAGACGUCGGUAAAUAUGCUGAAUAACUGGUUCACAAUAACGUUGUGUUUUAUUUGAACGUAGAAAGUGAAGAAAUCACAUUACAAUAUAUUACAAAAUUAAUGUCAUACACUGCCAAUUACAUAAGCAUCAUUCAAUCCAUAUAUCUUCACACCCAUCUCGAAUAUUUUGACCGCCUAACUCACCCACCAGUUCAUCAAAUGUGUCAACAUUUGGCAUCCCUCUAGUAAAUGGCUCACACUCAAUUAUCACAUCACCUAAGACUUCAUCACCAAUAACAUCAUUAUAUUCUCUAUUAGGCAUUGAUAACACUACCGACCAACCACGAUGCAUCGGGUCGUCAACAAAAAAUAUUUGUUUGACUUGAGAAGCCAAAACAAAUUGGUCAUUCCUAUGUCCAAUUUUACUCAAAUCUACAAGGGUAAAUCCAAGUUCGUCGACUACAAGACCAGAACUAUCUAUCCAAUCACACCUAAAGACUGGGAUUGUAAACUUUUGGUAGUCAAGGUCCCAAAUUUCUUGAAUGACACCAUAGAAACCCAUAUUUGAGAGAAUUGGGUUUUUAUCCUUGGCACUAGCAACUUGCAUGGUAUGUGCAAGUAAAUAAACUCCACUAUUUUGAGUUGUCCGCACAUCAUCUUGUGCCUUGAUAUUGAAUUUAAUACCUUUAAUAAGAUAGCUCCUAUAUAAUGGCACUGACAUGUUUGGACCAGCUGCUAGCCACCUUAAAUUUUCUGAUACGCCAUGAUUGUCUUCCUCAAGUUCACUUUGAACCUGCAAAUUAAUCAUAUCUUAAUUCAAUCUAACAUAUAAAUAAGAAGAAAAUUAAAAGAGAAAUAUGUUAUUCAACAAUAUAUACCUUGAAGCGUAGCCAUUGAAUGAAAGUGCUAUUGUGCUUAUCCUGCAGCCACUUUGUUCUCUUUCUAAAUUUUGGAUAAGCAGUCUUGAUGUGAAUCAUAUGUUGCCUACAUGACACGAAAAAUUCAAGCAUUACGGUCCUAAAUAUAGAAGAUAAACAUAAGAAAUAAUUUAAAAUGGAAACUUAAAGAAUAAAGCUCAUACGUACUCGAUAUAAGGUAGGACUUCCUCCGUAUUCUCCAAGACAUAUAGAUGUGCUUGAUUCAACAGGUCCUGAUCAACUACGCUCACUGUGCAACCUGAUAAUGGCUUUGAAAGUCCCAUCUUUUGGCUUGAAGGCACUCCAACUGUACUAACAUCAGAUAAAUGCUGAGUACAACACUCUACCGCUUCUUCAGCUAUAUACCGCUCAGCAAUGCAACCUUCGGGACGAGUACGAUUCUGAACAUACCCCUUCAGCACUUUCAUAUAUCUUUCAAACGGAUACAUCCACCUAAAAUAUACUGGCCCACAUAGACGAACUUCUCUGACAAGAUGUACUACUAGAUGAACCAUGAUAUCAAAGAAUGAAGGGGGAAAGUACUUCUCAAGCAAACACAGAGUAACUACUACAUCUUCUUCCAACUUAUCUAGCUUGGAAACAUCAACAGUCUUUGCACAUAUAGCAUUGAAGAAGAAGCACAAACGAGUUAUUGCAUACCUUGCAGGCUUCUCCAAAACAGAACGAAUUGCCACAGGGAGCAAUUGUUGCAUUAAGGUAUGACAAUCAUGUGAUUUAAGGCCAAGAAGUCUUGAAUCUUGUAAAGAUACAAGAUUUUUAAUAUUUGAAGAAUAACCUUCAGGGACCUUCAUACCAUAGAAAGAAUUGCAAACCUCUCUCUUCUCUGCUCUUGACAAAUUCCAAGGCCCAGGAGGCAAACGAGUACGUCUUUCUCCAUACUCGGGUUGCAAAUCAGUUUUGACCCCCAUGUUCAAUAAAUCUAAUCGAGCAGCAAUCCCAUCUUUAUUUUUUCCAGGGAUCUCCAGCAAUGUACCAAUGAUACUAUCGCAAACAUUCUUCUCAAUGUGCAUAACAUCUAGGGCAUGCCUCACAGGAAGGUAUUUCCAAUACUCGAGAUCAAAGAAUAUUGAUUUCUUCUUCCAACAAACUCUGUCACCAUUUUCAACCAUAUGCAGCACUUCUUCUCCGGUUAAUGGCUCGGGAGGUAUGCCAUAUUCAGGUUUCCCAUUAAAAGCUGCACGUUGCCUCCUAUAUGGAUGAUUGAUUGGUAACCAUUUUCUAUGCCCAAUGUAACAAAUUUUGUGGCCAUUUUUCAACCUGUGACUAGGUGUAUCAUCGCCGCAUAUUGGACAAGCUUUAUAUCCUUUAACAACAGAACCAGAUAAGUUUCCAUAGGCGGGGAAAUCAUUAAUUGUCCACAUUAAUGCAGCUCUGAGUGUAAAGUAUUCUCCAUUAUGUGCAUCAUACACUCCUCUAAUCCCAACCCACAAGGAUUUUAAAUCAUCAAUCAAAGGCUCCAAGUAGACGUCUAUAUCAUUUCCGGGUUGUUUAGGACCGGAAAUCAAUAAGGUUAACAUCAUGAACUUUCGUUUCAUGCACAGCCAUGGAGGGAGAUUAUAUGUAACUAAGAUAACCGGCCAACAACUAUAUCUGCUACUUAGAGAACUGUGGGGAUUGAAUCCAUCAGAUGAAAGAGCCAAUCUCAAGUUUCUCGGCUCAUUACCAAACUCAGGCCAUUUAUCAUCAAGAAGUUUCCAAGACGGGGAAUCCGCCGGAUGAGACAUCUGACCGUCAAUUGAUUUUCUAGCAGCAUGCCACCAAGUCAAACUCUUAGCUGUCUCAUGUGAUUGAAACAUCCUUUUAAACCUUGGAAUUGGGGGAAAAUACCACACCACCUUCGCUGGCACACCCUCUUUCAAGAUUGAAUCUUUGCCUUCCUUCCACCUUGAGAUACCACAAGUAGGACAAUUAGUUGAAUCCUCAUACUCCUUCCUAUACAAGAUGCAAUCAUUGGGGCAUGCGUGCAUUUUCUCAUAACUCAGCCCCAAUGCACACAAAGUCUUUUUAGCCUCAUACAUGGAGGUUGGUAUUGUAUUUCCUUCUGGAAGCAAAUCGCCUUGAAGUAUCAAUAAUUCUGUAAAACAGACAUCACUCAUCCCAUGUUUUGCCUUCAAAUUAUACAACUUCACUAAUGCCGAUAACUUCGUGUACUUUCUACAACCAGGGUACACUGGUUGAUCUCCAUCCCCAAUCACAUUGGCAAACUCAUACGGAUCCGAACCAAAAUCACCAAAAUCAUUAUCAUCCAUAUCAAUUUCUUCAGACACAAAACUGUACCUACUAUGGCCAUCAUCUUCUUCAACAUUUCUACUAGCAUUAGUAGUUGCUUCCCAAGGUUCUCCGUGAAAUGUCCAAUUCUUAUAGCUUUGGUCAAUUCCAUUAAAGUAUAAGUGAUCCCUUAUAAUUCCAACCCCAAACAACUUCAAAUUAACACAUUUAACACAUGGACAACGGAUAUGUGUUGUAGUUAGAAGAUUUUCUACAGCAAAGUUCAAAAAUGCUUCCACCCCAAAUUCAUAUGCCUUCGAUCUUCUAUCCGAGUGCAUCCAUGACUUAUCCAUCUCCGACACUAUAACCUAUUAUCUAUAAUAAAGUGAAAAUACAGGCAAUGACCAUCACUAUAGCAGAUUAUAAAAUGAUCUAAUCGCAAGUAAUACACAACAGAGACGACGGGUUUUAAACAAAAACAGACGUAUUUGGCAUAUAUAGACGACGGAUUUUCAACAGACGUCGUCUAUUAUAAGUAAUACAAACGACGGUUUAUGAAAAAACCGUCGUGUAUAAGUAAUACAACGACGGUAGUUUAAAAAAAUCGUCGUGUAAUCGUCGUCGUAAGCCUUAAAAUUCGUCGUGUCUCAGUUUAUUUUCAAGAACACAAAACCCAUUAAGAACACAACAUAUAUAUGAAACCAAGCAAGAAACCAACAUAUACAUGAAACCAAGCAUGAAAACAAUAAAUCCAUUCCCAAUUCAACAUAACAGAUAAUCCAUGAACCCAUUAAACAGAAAAUCCAUGAACCCAUACCUAUAAGCACAUUAUUAACAGAUCGCAAAGCAUACACAUAAAACCCUUUAACAAAACAACCUAAUAUAACUCGAAUCGUUACUAGAAUCAUCACUCGAAUCCCCAUCUUCAUUAUCAGUUUCUUCCUUCGUAGGUACUAUUUGCUCCCCAUCAUUUUCUCCAUAGCGGAAAAUGACAAGAUCAAAUAAAGGUGUACUUUUGCUGGAAAUCAUUUGGAAGUUGGUGAUCUGUGUCUUUUUGUGUUGAUUUCCAGCAAAAGUACACCUUUAUUUGAUCUUGUCAUGAACCCAUUAAACAGAAAAUCCAUGAACCCAUACCUAUAAGCACAUUAUUAACAGAUCGCAAAGCAUACACAUAAAACCCUUUAACAAAACAACCUAAUAUCAUUCAAUGAAUUUACAAGGGGAAGAUAGGGUUUAUACUUACAGGUUGGACGAGCUCACAGAUUCGACGGAGCCUGGAGAGUGCAACUUUUAAUUAGAGCAGAAGUGAGAGAGCGAAAUGUUAUGUCGCGCGAAAUCUGAAAAUUUAAGGUUUCAGGGUUCGAAGUAUAAGAAUAAGAGCCAAAUCUAAAAAAAUUUAGGUCGCGCGAAAAUUUUUAGAGUUCGCGCGUUUUAAAACGUCGAAAGAAAAACCAAGGCGAAAGUUCUACACGUACCGACGUAAAUUUAAUAUUCCACGACGGAAACUUCAUUUUUCGGAUUAAGAACGUAAGGCCGUUCAUUUUGAAGCUUCAUUUUUCGGAUUAAUUUUAAAUUUAUUUUGAAUUUUUUAUAUAACGACGACUGAAAAACCACGUCGGUGUUAAGAAAUUAAAGACGUUGUAAAUUAUAUAAACCGACUUACAUAUUAAAAUGACGUCGUUUAAAGCGUAAACCAUGUCGUAUGUUUUUCUGUACGACGUAAAAUAUGUAUUCCACGACGCAACCACCGUCGUUAAAAAUUAAUACCCUAAACCCAUAAAACUAAAUUAUACAAUUUAAAAAAUUAAGUUUAUAAAAGGUUUUAUGGUUUUAAAGCCUAACAUAUACCCUAGACUACCCAAAAAUUAUACUUUAAAAAUAAACCCCAAUAAAUAACAACCCUAAUCUCUAAACCCUAGACUCUAAACCCUAAACCAUAAAACUAGAAGUGAUUUUAUGACUCAUCAAAACAAUUUUGUUUUGGAUGGUCAUUUUAAAUUUUUGUUAUUCAAAAUGAAUUUUUUCAAGGUUUAUGUGGAAGAAAAUAUAUCAAUGACUUCAUAGGAGUUGACUUUUCAAUUUUCUGAUUUAUUUUAAAUUUAUUUUGAAUAUUUUGAUAUAAAAAUAAUAAAAUAUUCUUACCACAACAACAAACCACGUCGGUGUUAAUAAAUUGUAGACGUUGUAAAUUGUAAUAGACUACUAAGUCGUUAAAAUGACGUCGUUAAAAUGAGAAACCAUGGCGGCUAUUUAACUAUACGACGUAAAAUAUAUAUAUCAACGACUUAACCGCUGUCGUUACAUAAACGUCGUCGAUGAUACCCUGAACCCUUAAGAAAUUGAAGAUGUUGUAAACCAUAAACGACUCAAUUGUUCAAAGAACGUCGUCUAACUAUAUUUUUACGUCGUAUUUGUUUAAAACACGAAACAACAAAAUACGACGGUUUGUGACUUUAUUAGGUCGUUGGAAAAGUAUUACACGUCGGUUAAGCAAUUUGUAUGUUUGUUUUUUUUUUAAUUUAAGAAAACCUCAACAAAUUUUUACAUUACAUAUUAUAGAGAAAAUUUGUACAUUAUACAUAAAUAUCAAGUGUUCAAUAAUUGCCCUGUUUAAUAAUUUGGAAAACAAACUCUGCCCAUUCAUUCCGGACUUCAUCAAUGGCUUCUUGGGGGUAUGAAGCUUCCUGGUUUCCCUUGGCAUACUGCAUAAACAAUGACUAUUAGGGUUUAUAAAUAAAAAGAAAUUCAAUCACAGACGACGAUAUUUUUCAUAACCGACGUAGUAUAUCCAUUCAACGACGUUAAUUUUACAUGACCGUCGUUGAUAAUACAAAAAACGACGUGAAAUGUAUGAAGGUAAUUUCUUCUUACCUUAUUCUCAAACCCCAAGGAAGGAUCCAUGAUGAUGUCCCUCAUGAAGCGCAUCACAUAAUACCCGCAUUCGACAUUGCUGGGUUGCUUUGGUGUGCCUGAGAGAGUUUUCCAAAUUACAUUUUUACGUCCUGCUCGGGCUAUGUGGGUAUUAUAUAUUUUUAAAGCACUGUUCACGAUGUUUUUCGCCUCUUCGUCGACCACACGAUGACCUGGCAGAGGAUCCAGAAAAUAGACGGUCUCCUUCUUUGCUCUUACAAUCAGCAAGAUCCAAUGACGGCUGCACAAAAUUAAUAUAAAAACGACGGUUAUUUACAAAAACGACGUAUUAUAGUAUUCACACGACGAAANNNNNNNNNNNNNNNNNNNNNNNNNNNNNNNNNNNNNNNNNNNNNNNNNNNNNNNNNNNNNNNNNNNNNNNNNNNNNNNNNNNNNNNNNNNNNNNNNNNNCGACGGUUUAUUUACAAAACCGACGUAUAAUAGUAUUUCCACACGACGAAAUAAAGUAGAUAACGACGACAUUAUAUAUUUAUCACGACGAUAAAUAAAUACCGACGUGGUUAGUAGUUUCAAACGACUAAAUAAAAUAAAACACCGACGUGGUUAGUUUAUAAUCUGUCAUUUAUUGAAAAUCAUAAAAACAAAAUCCUAAGGAGACUAACCCUGGAUUGUAAGGCAUCAUGAAAAUCUGUUCACCCGUCUGUCUUCUGAAGUCGAGCUGCUACCAGUCGUGAUCUUUCAGUUAUUGUGCCAGAGUUGGCACUAACUGUAGCAGGGUCGAUAAAGCCAACCAUGCUGCACAUAUUGGCUUGUUUCAAAACAUCGUGUAAGUACCUAAAUACAUAAAAUAAUAUAAACAAGUCAGCACAAACAAACAUGACGGUUAUGUAUAAAAAAACGACGUAUUAUAAUAUUUCACACGACGUACUGAAAUAGAUGAGGACGUUAUAAUAUAUUUAUCACGACGGUAGUUAGUUAAGACGACGUGGUUAGUUAGUUAAGACGACGCAAUAUAUAAACCAACGAGGUAUUAUUUUAGAAGUACAAACCUCAUAUAUACAGCCAAUACAGUAGCUCCAAUUUCUUCCAUGCCUGCAAAUUGUGUAAUAUCUUCAGGCAGGAGGAAGGUAUCGCGCUCACCACCAAACACCUCCUUAUUAAUUGUAAAUUGGAGUGUCUUAUCCUCAGGCAGGAGUGUCGUUUCCACAAAACGACAAAGGGUUUUUAAAGAAGAUGGCGCCUCCAUAUUUGAAUAAGCACCAACUUCAAUAACCUGUUUAAAGAAAUAAAAAAAAUGACAUGGUAAUUCAAUAAAGACGACGGUUUAAGUAAUAAAACGUUGUCUUAAAAGUAUUUAAACGACGGUGAAAAAACCGUCGUGGUAAUUCAAUAAAGACGACGGUUUUAUGAAUAAAGCGUCGUCUGAAACCAUUUAAACGACGGUGCAAAAAUCGUCGUUUAAAUAUUUUAUUACGUCUUAAAAAAAUUCCGCCGUCUAAGUUUUAAACAAACGACGGAUUAAAUAAAAAUAUCGACGUCUGAAAUUUUGAAAAACAAAUAAAAAAGGCAAAGUUAUGUGAACAUACCUUGUCGUCAUGCUUUUCUUCAUCUUCUUUCUCCUUUUCUUCUUCCUUCUCUUCAUCUCUUUUUUCUUCUUCCUUCUCUUCAUCUGGCUGAUGUUUCCCCAUUUUGGCAGUAUCAUCCUCCAAAUGUAGGGAUCUCACAUCACCUCCAGAGCAGCUAGCUUUGUCAGACAUUGGAUUUUUGGGGCUUUGGCUAAUUCUUGGUUUAAGCAUGCUUGGAUCAAAAUUGGGAAUUAAUUGGGAAAGCUGACUCAGGAAAUGCUCCCUCUCAGCCUCUACCAAUUGUUUUGUCCUAGCCUCCAUCCUUAAGGCCUCUUCCCUUGCCUUAGCCUCCAUCUUUUUAGUCUCUUCUUGAAGGAGAACUCUUAAACUGUCCUUCAAACGGUCGUCAAAGCUCACCCUCUGUGGUUUGGGAAAAUUGAAAUAUUGCCUUGGGGAAACACCAGCACCAACUCCCCUCAGUCUGCCUGGAUGCUCGGGGCCCAAAGCCAUGGUCAGCACAUCAUUGCUGCCAUCUACUCUGACUUUGCCUUCCGAGACUUGUUUCUGCAAUUCAUCCUAAAAAAAGAUAAACAAAAAAACACACGACGGUUAUUUAUGUACAAACGACGUAUUAUAUAAUUUCACACGACGCAAUAACGUAUAAACCGACAUUAUUAUAACUUAUCACGACGGUGGUUAUACCGACGUGGUUAUUUAUUUAAAACGACGAAAUGAAUAAACAACCGACGUCUUAUGCUAUAAUUAAAGAUAACAGAGUAGUGACUCCUAUUUAGACCGUUAACGACGUUUUUAAAAAAGUUUCGACGUGGUAAUAUCAUUCACACGACGCGAAAAUGAACCACCGACGUCUUAUGCUAUAAUUACAGAAAACAUAGUAGUGAUUCCUAUUUAGACCUUUAACGACGUUUUUAAAAACUUUUCGACGUGGUAAUAUCAUUCACACGACGCAAAAUAUAACAUACGACGUAAUAAGAAUAAUUCACAGUUUAAUACAAAUUUAAAACAGAGUGAUAGUAGGCUUACUAUUAAUUUUGCUUUCUCUGCCACCUUUGGAUCAGGGAUGUUACCAUGUUUGUCCUGUCUAGCUCUCUUCCAUAAGGUAGAUCGAUCAAUUUCUACCCCAGGCAUGGUUUCCUCCAAUUGAUCCUCCAAUCCAGCAUAUCCUUUUCGAGACAAUCGAUGAUUGUACUCGAGUUUCUCCCUAAUCUGUGCAUGUUGAGAAUGCACAGACUCAAAAUCUUUGGAUAGCCUUGAAGCUACAAAGGCAUCCCAUUGUGCUUUCUCUGUGAAUUUAUAUGUUUCAGGGGGUUGGCUUAAUUUCUCCCUGUCAUUGGUGUAUGGAAGGAUAUAAUGCCUCGUUAGUGUAGACUUGAAAUCCUUCCAUUUCUUGGAAGCAGAAGCUAAAACAGAGGUCUUGCCCCCUUGGCCUACGACAAAAGCCAUGUCAACUGCUUCCCAAAUCUGCUCCUUUAUAUCCUUGGGGAUUUGGGACCAUUUCUUGUCCACAAGUGGGAUCCUGGAGCGUGCCAACACACCAAUAUACGACUGCAUCUCAAUAUGUGCUUGGCCAACACCUUUCCCCCUUUUAUUGUACUCAACAAUUGGCCUCAGUUUCUGAAGCUUUCUCUUCACAACACGAGGCAUUGUGCUCAUACCUCGACCAGUCUUUGAAUCAUCUGAGAUUGUUGUCUGGCUGGUUUGUUCUGUCUCAGCAGAUGAUGAAGCAAACUUCAUCUUCUUCGAAGACUUCAUCUCCUUCGAAGACUUGUCUUGAGGAGCUACCAUUCCAAGCUUCUUGGAGCCAGAAUCCUUAGUUUGUUGUUGAGAAACCAUUUUAACAGACAAAACUGCAAGUGAAAAUAUUUCAGGAAAACAUUAAGAACACAAACGACGGUAUUAAAAAAAUACGACGUAUGAUAUGAUUGUAGACGACGCAAUGAAAUAAUCUCAGACGUAAUAAAUGUUUAAAACCAUUAUUUAUAUAACGUCGUGGUAUAUAUGUUCACACGACGUCAAUAGUAAUACACCGUCGUGGUAAACUAUUAUUUAUAUAACGUCGUGGUAUUUAUGUUCAUAUGACGUCAAUAGUAAUACACCGUCGUGGUAUUAACAUUCACACGACGUAAAACAAUAAGAUAUUUUGUCGUCUAUAUUAGAUACCAACCCUAGUUUCUUUUUCUUUAUAUUUUAUCAAAUAAGGGAAAAACAAAAACCAUUGUUCAGCGAAAUCAAACCUGCAAUUAAACAAGCAUAUAAAAAAAGACUAUUAUUUUAAAAACAACUUUGUCAAUUUUCAGACGACGCUAGAACAACUGACGAACCGUCGUGGUCUACCUUCGUCUUAUUUAGUUGAUGUAGUUGUCUUCAAAGUUGGAAACUUUCACUCUUUGUCUGUAUAUUUUAUCAAACUUGGAAAGAAGUAAAAUGAUUUUGGCCAGAAAAAAGGUAAAAAGAUUUUUCAAACAAAAAACGUAUGAGCAUGCAAAACAGUAACCAAAAUAGUGAAGAUGAAAGCUUACCUUUUGCGUGCAAUGAAAGCAAGAGGAAGAUGAUCGAUGUUUAAGUUCAGAGACGACGAAGAAGACGAGAGGAAGACGAUGAGAAACUCUGACAAUGCUCUGACAAGGAAAAAAGACGAAAAGGUUUCUCUGGGAGAUUGAAAUUUUUAAUCGGGUUUGGAAACAGUGCAUGUGUAAGUCGAAAAGUUGCUUACAUAUAAAACCAUUUCAAAAAAAUAAUACGGCGGUUACAUUUAACUACGUCGUUUUUAACUAAAACGACGCAAUAUUUUUCAUUCGACGUGGAAUCAUUUCAUUUAACGUCGUUAGGUUUAAUAUAACCGACGUGGAUUUUAAUUUUUAAAUUAUGAAUAGAAUUUUUUUUCCCGUGACCUUUCAGUUUAUUUUUCAAUUACAGUGCGUUAUAAAUAGAGUUUUUUUUCCGGAGGAAAUUUAAAACGAAGGAAAUUAAUAUUCUGCAAUAUGUAAAGUUUCUUUUUUGGAUGACAGAUUUAAAUAAAAUAAGAAUAUAAAAACAACAAAUGUGUAAGUCAAGUAGACGAAAAGUUGCUUACAUAUAAAACCAUUUCAAAAAAAUAAUACGGCGGUUACAUAUAACUACGACGUAUAAAUUACAAAAUACGACGGUACAUUUAACUUCGGACAUGGUAAAUAAAUACGACAGUAGUUUGUAGGUACCGUCGUAGUAAACUCAAAAAUUAAAGUACAUAAGUAAUAACUCGCGUCAUGGUAUAUUAUUUAACACGUCGUUUGUAUUAAUUUACCGACGUGGAUUUCUGUAAUAUACGUCGAUAAUACCGACGUUGAUUUUACAAUUUAAACGGCGGUUUUUUUGUAAGGACCGCCGUUGGUUUUAAAAAUUUAUUCUAUAAAUUUGUCGCUUUCAUUCAUUUUCGGUUUACAUUUAAGGUUCCAAGUUCUUCCUCUCUCAGUCUCUCAUGUCUCAAAGACAAUAAUUUGGAUGUUUUCUCAAAGAGAAAUUGAGCUUACUCGCAUCAAAUAUAUGUCCACAAGAAGAAGCUUGUCAACUAGCCUUCUCACUUCCUUGAUCAAGCCUGAUAGGACACUUAGUGCUUCUGAAUACUCCUUGCUUUCCAUCAAAAGAGAUGCAAGCCUGGCCUCCACUCGCUGUCGAAGGAAAGUUCGCUUCUCAGGGAAAUCUGAAGAUCAGAUGUGCCUGAUCCUCUGCUUGAUUUUCUUGCCUAAGAAGAUCCGUCGGAUUUAUUGUGAUAGCCUCUUCCUUUAUCCGUAGAGCUUCAGAAGAAGAAGAUGGGUUUCAAGAAUGCGAUAAAGAAUAGAAAUUGCUUCAGAUGGCCUCUAAAGCAUGAGCAAUUGAAUCAGUAGUUUCUGGGAGAUAUGAUGAAGACAUUGUCAAUGCUUUGAACUACACAAGUCCUGCAGAAAGAUAUGUUAAAGAAACUGAAACAACGGCGGUUUUCUGUUCUACCGUCGUCUUUUAUCGUCGUCUAUAUUAAGUUAAGAUGGCGGUAGAUUUAUAAUUACCGACGUAGAUUAUUUUGUUAAACGUCGUUAAGUGUACUACAACCGACAUGGAUUUUAAUUUUAAAUUAUAAAUAGAGUUUUUUUUCCCGUAUUCUUUCAGUUUUAGUUUUCAAUUCCAAAGCGUGAUAAAUAGAUUUUUCUUUCCCGAGGAAAUUUAAAAUGAGGGAAAUUAAUGUUCUAGAAUUUGUAAACUAACACGACGCAAUAUUUGCAAAUCAGUGUCAUCUGUUAAGAUUAUGAUGUGGAACAGAGUUCCAUCUGGUAAGAUUUCGUAACCCUUGGGAUCUCAGACAAAACUGAUUAUGUCGGCGGUGUUCUAUAUAAACCGUCGUGGUUAUUUCAAUUCUUGUCAUUAAGUAGAUCUACCGACGUAGGAUAAGAAAAUCAAAGAAAAAAAUUGUUAACAAAAAUUCUUAUUAAGACGACCGUUAAAAUUAAAGGUACGACGUAUAAAAUGAAUAAAUACGACGAUAAAUUUUAUUGUACGAUUUAAAGAUAACGUCGUAGAACUAUACGAGAAUGACGUCGAUAUAUUUAUAUUUUCCGUCGUUGUAAAUUAAUUUAAUACGGCGAUAUUUUGUAUUUUAAAGCCGUGGAUUUGUUUGUAAUUAUACGGCGUCUUAUACGAAAACCUCGUCGUGUUAUUUUAUGAGUAAAAACGGCAGUUUUUAUUGAAAUCGUCGUCUUUACUUUCUACGUCGGUCGAUUCAUAACUUCUGCCGUUCUUUGUUGGCAUUGAUUUUACACUGCGGAAAUCUGUUUCAAAUAGACGUCGGUUGUUUAAUUAUGUACGUCGUUGUUUUUGAACAGCCAUUUGAAACUCCAUUUUUUAGUUGUCUAAGGUUGUAUUACACGACGGUGUUUUUAGAACCGUCGUCUUUUUAUAAACCACGACGAUUUUCACUUAGACCGUCGUUGUUUUCUGGUCGUCUUUUUCACUUUUUGUAGUAGUGACUCUUCAGCAAUAUUUUAUCAAAAUAUCGCUAUAAUAUCGAAAAUAUCGAUGUAAUGAAAAAAAAAGAAAAAAGAAGAAGCACAAAACACACAUGCAAAGGGGAUUCAAACUCUUGCCAUUUCACUCUUUCAACGCCUUAACCACCAUGUUGCUUAUGAUUUUUUGAUAAUAUGGUAAAAUAUGUAUAUUUAUAUUCUUUUGUUUUGAACUGUUUUUGUAAGAAUCAGAUUUUCACAUGAGAAUGUGAGUCAUUGACCGUUCUUUUUGGGAUGGAAUCGAGCGGCUCACGGAAAGAAUUUAAGACCCAAAUCUUCAAAUGAUUUUGCUUAUAGACAAUGUCAAUCAAUCUCAGAUCCAUAUGGGUGACAUGUUAACAAUUACAUACAAAACUAUUUUGAGGAUUUAUCAUUUGAUGACUACUCUUCACAAUACACUUAUUCUACACAUAGAGAUGAUGAAGAUAGUGAAAAAUUUGAACUUCAUAGGAACUCUAUGUGGCACUAAGUCACUCAUGUAUCUUAGCAUGCAAGUAUAAAGUGUAAGAUAUUGUAGUAAAUUAUUAUAUAUAAAUGAUUAUGGUGUGUUUAAUCUUCUUUCAUUAAUUAUUACAUAUUUUCUAUACUCACAAUGUUCAUCAGCUUGCUAUAUAAUCAACUUAAAUCAGUUAAACCCAUCAUGCAAUGCAUUUCCUUCCAAUUUUUUGUGACUAAUAGAUAAUUGACUAAAUAAACAUCCUCCAAAGUUUCAAUAAAAUUUUCCAAGUUUUUCUUAUAAUUUACGUCGUUUUUAUUCAAUUUUCAUCGAUAUCAAUAAUAUUCAGAUAUUUCCAUCGAAUUUUCGUGUAUUUGGACUACCGAUAUUUUCGAUACCAUCGAUAUUUUAGACCUUGGGUAUAAUAUAUAUAUAUGAUAAAGAUGGACUCAUUAGAAUUCCAAGUCAUCCAACAUCGGUGGAUUAUGUUCAAUCAAAACUAGAAACUCCGAAAGCCACGAUGUCACACCAUAUGUGAAGCCAAGUCUUCAGAGGUCUAAGCCCAACCCGUGGAAGUAGGCCCAAAACCUCCUGAUGUUUUUAUGCACGUGACGAGAUCCAUCCAAGGAAAGCAGUUGAAGAAAUUGAUGUCAAUCCGGAACAUUCAUAAUGAGGAGAGAAUCAAGUGAUUAGAUUUGCAAUUCGAUAAUCUCAUUCGAAUUAAUUCCGCGGAUUUUGGAAGCUACGAAAAGAAAAUUUUUGAACGAAGUUGACCUUUUGUCAUUUGAUGGCCAACCCAUGGACUGACAGAUGCCCCUAUAUAUACCUCUUUAGAUGAAGAGCAAAGGAGACCGACAUGAGAUACAAAAACCUACUUUUUGUUUUUCACUUUUCUAUCCCUGGACUAGGUUUUUAUUUUCCAAGCAAGUAGACUAGAUUAGUUCUUCGAUUUCGUUAGUGUAAGUUUAAUUUCUUGCAUUUUCCAUUACGUUAUUUUAAGAUCCAAAUUUGUUGCUUUACUUUUAAUUGUUAUCGAUUUUUUUUUAAGUUUAAUAUAAUUUCAAAUUGCUUUAUUUUAUCAUAUUUAUCGUUCAUAUCGUUCAUAUAGUUCUUGUUUCAUUCUUACUUAAAUUUACGUUUAUUGUUGCUUCAAUCUUAUUUUUGCAUUUAUUUUCUUGUUAUUUAGUGGCUUGGUGGCUUGGUUUGCCUCAUACUAUGUAGAAGUGCAUGUACAAUUCGAUUUGAAGGGUGCAAAUUCAAGUGCAAAGAAGACACCAACGGGCACGGGUAGAGGUGGUUCAUCUGCCACAGCUGAGAAAAAAGGCGGCCAAGGUUCGGGGCUGAUGGAAAGAGAAAGAGAAGAAGAGGGAGAUGAAAGAAGAGACGUUGCCUUUCCUUCUUCCUGUAUUUGGCACGUUUUUUAAGAAAAUGUAAAUAGAUUUUUCCUCCACACAAACAUUUUUGGUAGGUCACUUGGUGAGGAACGGUAGGAUCUUCGGUUGUAGUGUUGGCUUACAGGGUUAUACUGGUGAUACUAUUGAAUUCAACUCCAAGAUUUAUCUUUUGCCUUUAGUAGCAUUUUAUUUUCAUCAAUGCACUAGAUAAUGGUUUUAGUAGAUUAACUUGUGUUUACGGUGGUUUGAUAUAGUGUGUCAGGUGACAAUUCUCACUGAGUAAUCUGAGAACCAGAGCUUCUACAAAAUCACUAACCAGUUCAUAAAAUAUGUUUGUCUUUUUCUAAUCUCACCAUGAGAAAUAUUAAUUAAUUUGCCUUAACAAAAAUAAUACAAAGUAUUGGUUUGUAUUAAACUUUGUUGGUUAAUACUUUUUUUAAUAAAAAAUUUGCUGCUGGUUAAUCUCUGGUUAAGCUUAAUAUUUAGGAGGGGUGUGUUUUCUCACACACAAAUGUCAAAGUGCCAUAAGGAUUUGAACAGAAGACUAUUAGUCUGCAAAGCAAGGUACUUUUUCACUAGUGUCCGAAUCAAAUCAUGCUUGAAGAAUACUAAUAGGGGAUUUUUCUUUCAGCUGAUAAAAGUAAAACAUCAAAGCUCAUCAUGGUGAUCGAAAACCAGAUGCAUCCAAAUUGCAAGGCAUGCCUUUCUCUUUGUGGUAGUAUAAUGAGCAUCCCUCUCAUACCCUCCAUAAUAAUCCUAAGCAUUAAUGUUGUAAAUUAGAUAAAUCCAUACAUACAUAAAACGAGCAUAAUAAGUAAUAGUAGCUAGUGGGAAUUAUAUCCCAACAAUUCAACAAGAACGAACAAAGUAGUAAUAUUCUCACUCUCAUAGCAAUACUACAAAUAGUAGGACAAAACAAUAUUGGUAAACACACGAGUGGUCCAUAUAGUUCUCCAGAAAUCCCUAAAAUAGAUCUUGCAUCUAGGUAUGCAACACCAUAUGAAGGGCCCAUACCAUAUGUGAUUAUGAACCUUUAUUUAACUACAUAUAGAUAUAGUAGUACAACAAAUAUUACUGUCCGUCUGGGAAACGGAAACCGUCAAUAUGCUACUGAUAAUAUGUCGAUAUAAUUGUCGCCAAUAAAACGUACUGACAUGUUAUCGAUACAUUUUCAGUAAUAUCGAUGCACAUAUAUUAUUUCAACAAUAUGCACAACCUUUAUUUAAUAAAGAACUGAUGGCUUGCAUAGAGAACUUCUGAGAUAUUCAUCAGAGACGUAUAUGUAAACACCAUUUUUAUUAAGGGGUGGUGGUUAUUGAAGGUGGAGAGAACGGAAAUAUGGGAGUUGAUGGGAAAUUUGGAAGUGAAGUAAUAAUAGGGGGAGGCAACCUAUAUUCUGGCCAUAAAGGUGUGGAGGUCAGAGGAGGAAACUUCAGGUUAGGGAUCUUGGGCAGCUUAUAACGAGGAAAGGUAGGGGCUAAGAGUUUUCGAGGGGCAGCGAAAGCUGAAUGUGUGCUUGAAAGUAAUGAAGCGAUGACAAAGAUAGCUAUGACAAACGAUUUCCAAGUUGCCAUCUUAGUGUGUGGAAAUAAAGCUUAUGAAAUUUGAUGUGAACGAGAAGACCAGCCUAUGGUUAUAAUUUAUAACGUUCAGAGGGAAC